CAAGGGGCAGAGCCGGGAUUCGAACCCACGACCGCUGACUCCCAAGCCCGGGCUCUUGCCACUGAGCCACGCUGCGGGUCAGGGGAGUCGGACGGCCGAGAGGGGGGCGGAGGAUGGGGGCGGCCCAAGACACCCCUCCCCUCCCCCCGCCUGUCUGGGUUGGGGACACGUGGAGGAGAGGAGGCCGGCCGACUCCGGCCUGAGCCUGUCUCCCUUUCUGCCCCUCGGUUUGACCCAUCUCUGAAACGGGCCCGUCCCGGGAGAGGCAACCCUAAGCGUCCUGCAGCCCCCAUCCCCGGCCAGCCACCGCAGCCCGUCUCCUUCCGGGGCAAACUCCCCCCUCGCCCCCGGCCCCAUCCGCCCCUGCCGCCUGCGGGGGCGAAGCCCAGGGCAGAGCCAAGGCCUAGGGUUGCGGGGGGGGGGGGGCGGGCUUGGGGACGGGGAGGAGGGCUCUCCCCACAUCCUGGGGGUAGUCACCGAGGGGAGACCCCGUGCCUCUCCAGGGGUCCGCCGCUCCCCCCGGGAGGGUCCGGGGCAGGGCCGGGGGCGCCAUCCUCACCCCCUGCCGCCUCCUCGCCCUGCCCUGGACCUGCCCCCGGCCCGGGUCCCCGUGACGCCGUUCUUUCUGCCUCCACAGUCUGCACCCGACCCUGGGAGCGGCCCCCUGCGAGCACCUCCUCCCUUCCCAGCCCCCGGCCGCCCCAUGAUGCCUCCGCCCUUCGUAAGUUGCCCCCCGGGGCCUCCCCUCCCCUCCCCUCCCUUCCGGCCGCCUUGGGGCACCCCCCACCCCCGGCUCGGAUCCGGCCUCCGGCUCCAGGUCCUCCAUCCCGACUCCCCCCCAAACCCCAAGCCGGUCAGCCACGUUUGCUGAGCGCCCCUGUGGCGCAGAGCGCUCAACUAAACGCUCGGGAACGGCCGGUCCGCGACCCCCGCCCCGAGGGAGCGUCCGCCGGGGAAGGGGAAGGAGACGCGGGGACGGGGACGCGGGCCCCCAGAGCCAAAGGCCGCUCCCGCCUCGAGGGUGGCUGCCCACCGCCGGGCCCCCCGGCCGGGCCCCCCGGCCCUCUGCCUCAGCCCCUUCCCCUUCCCCUCUCUCUGUCUCUCCGUCUCUCCCCCUGCAGAUGCCGCCGCCGCCGCCGCCGCCCGGGAUCCCCCCGCCCUUCCCUCCGAUGGCGCUGCCCCCGCUGCCCCAGAGGCCGCCGGCCGUGCCCCCGGGCAUGA
This 1221-nucleotide long non-coding RNA is filed under the name Ornithorhynchus anatinus (platypus). RNAcentral describes it as "lncRNA (ENSOANG00000041288.1)". Lineage: Eukaryota; Metazoa; Chordata; Mammalia; Monotremata; Ornithorhynchidae. The record is from RNAcentral.